CCUACGGGGGCAGCAGUGGGGAAUAUUGGACAAUGGGCGAAAGCCUGAUCCAGCCAUGCCGCGUGUGUGAAGAAGGCCUUCGGGUUGUAAAGCACUUUCAGUGGGGAAGAAAGCCUUGGGGCUAAUACCCUCGAGGAAGGACAUCACCCACAGAAGAAGCACCGGCUAACUCCGUGCCAGCAGCCGCGGUAAUACGGAGGGGGCGAGCGUUAAUCGGAAUUACUGGGCGUAAAGCGCGCGUAGGCGGUCUGAUAAGCCGGUUGUGAAAGCCCCGGGCUCAACCUGGGAACGGCAUCCGGAACUGUCAGGCUAGAGUGCAGGAGAGGAAGGUAGAAUUCCCGGUGUAGCGGUGAAAUGCGUAGAGAUCGGGAGGAAUACCAGUGGCGAAGGCGGCCUUCUGGACUGACACUGACGCUGAGGUGCGAAAGCGUGGGUAGCAAACAGGAUUAGAUACCCGAGUAGUC
This 464-nucleotide ribosomal RNA is filed under the name Vreelandella stevensii. RNAcentral's name for it is "partial 16S ribosomal RNA". It matches the Rfam family "Bacterial small subunit ribosomal RNA", at positions 338 to 795 of the family's 1533-position model. The record is from RNAcentral. Lineage: Bacteria; Pseudomonadati; Pseudomonadota; Gammaproteobacteria; Oceanospirillales; Halomonadaceae.